Molecule: long non-coding RNA, 5559 nt
Filed under: Equus caballus (horse)
Lineage: Eukaryota; Metazoa; Chordata; Mammalia; Perissodactyla; Equidae
Description: lncRNA (ENSECAG00000051095.1)
Source: RNAcentral
GUUGCUCUUGGCCAGCCAGUCAGUUCCAGAUUGGCACAACUAGUGCCAACCCUGCUGAAGGCAGGGAGGGUCUAGAUCCCCUUAGAGUCUCACCUGGACUCCCAGAGUCUGGUGUGCCCGAGGCCCAGAAGGUACUGGCCGUGUGGAAGCUGGAUACCAACCAUAGGGGCCAGGCUUAGCCCUGCCAGCAGCCCAGCUCCCAUCAUGUGGUCAGGACGCUUCCCCUGCCUGACUGCUGGCUCCCAAUCCCAAAUACCCACAAGGGCUCUGCGGAACGAGGCCUGAAUUCCAGUGCCCCCCACCGCUGGCCUCUCCCACAACCCUGACCACUGCCUCCCCCGUCCCCUAGAAUCUGUGCCCCCAUCUGGGGUGGGGCACAAAUGCCCUCCAUUAACAACAAUAAUAAGUUGAAUGGAAAUUUUCCUCUCACAAAGUACAUCCACAUCCAUUUGCCUCCAGGACCCAGCUAGGCAGAGAGCAGAAAGUCCAUUCAAGAGAUGAGGAAACUGAGACCACAACAUACCCAAACUCACACCUGUUUUUUUCUUGAAUCUCAGCCUUUGCAUUUAUCUUGGGAAAACACAUUCCUCUUCAGCUUUGAGGCCUUGGCUUCAAGGUCACUUCAGCCAGGAGGUCCCCGGUCUCCCCAGCUGCAGGUAAGGGCUCUCCUGUUGUGCUAGAGUUGAUAACUUGCUCACAUCUGCCACUGGGCGGUCAGGCCAGCUGCUGCUCUGUCUGUCCCUCCUCAUCCCUGGCACUCUGCUCAGGGCCUCACAUGCAGGAAGGACAUAAGGAAGAUUUGCUGAAGGAAGGACGGAAGAAAUGAAUGAGCCACCAAAGUGGCAGAUUUUCUGAUCGCCAGUCUAGUGCUGGCAGGAAGGACACUGCAAAGGACAGGGCAAAGCCGCCCAGUGCGGACAUUUCAGCUGUCGGUGCACAGGGACCCAAUGCAUGCCUGGUGUACUGACCCAAGAGCAAGCAGCUCAGCCCACCUGGGAGCAAAUUUUUGCUCAAACACUAGCCCAAGGAAGCAGAAUUGGAAAGAACAUCUGAUUUUCCAGAAUCCAGCAGAGCCUUCUAGAGCGAUUUGGGAUUAUCUGCUCCAGGGAUCACCCUGCCAGCUUUCUCCCUCCUAGACAGAUGAUUGGGAUUUGACUACAUACUAAUCUUUCUAAGCCUCAGUUUCCUCAACUGUGAAAGAGAGGGUUGGUCCUAGGUGACCCCUAAGGCCCUUCCGAGUUCUGAAGGAAGCUAUUUUAGCUGAUUCCCUGUGUGUCCUCCAUGAGGCUGGAGAAGUCCAACCACAGCUCCUUGGUGGCCAAUUCCGUGGGGACACUUGUGGGCUCCCAGCCUUGCAGGGCCCGCCUGCUCCGGCGGCUAAGCUUGUCCCUCCCCAUCCCUGAGCCAGAGCUCAGCCAGGUGCCAGGUAGAGAAAGUGAGCCUCGGAUUGGGGCAGGAGGGCAGGGGUGGGGUGUGUCCCACAGGUGAUGGGGUCGCCAGGAAGGACACAAUGUAAGGCCCACCUUUGAUUCCAUGUGUCUCGAGCUCUCUCUCUGCCUACUUCCACCCAUCACCUUAACAAACACCAUGUCAAUUUUUAAAAUUGCUUGAAAGCUGCCAUUGUGGAGAAUGUGCUCUGGGGAGCUCCCCAGAGCAGGAAAGAAUGUGCACCCCCCGCACAUCCCCACCAAGACAUAGGCACUGAGACUGCGGAGAAGACUGGCCAGGCCCUGGCAGACUCCAGCAUCCACCAGUCAUCAGCAAACAUUUACCGGGCACUUGGUGGGCACGGGUGGAGGGACAGCGAGGCAGGGGCAAAGGAAUAAAAGGUGUUGGUUAAAUUCAUUCACCAGUUAAUGAGUACCUACUGGGUGCCAGGUAUGGAGCCAGUGCCACCAUGGGGAAGCUGACAAACUGGCCUGGGAGACAGGACACCUCCUUCCCGGAAUAACCUGGAACUUUGAGACUUGGCAGAAAAGAUCGUAAAGAAAUGAGUCCCUAGGCCUCAGCAGCCAUUAGUCUCAAAAGGACGAAGCCCAGAUAGACUUCCUGCAGGAAGGAGGCUGGGGCGUGGUUUGGCCAUGGGAAGAUCAGUGGGCAUUCCAAAGGACCCCACAGCCGAGAUGCUCAGGGAGAAGAGGCAGGGAGGGAGAGAGAAGGUAACCCUCGUGUUUGCAUCUUGUGCCUCACAACACCCCCUAGAGGGGGCAACAGUCAUCUCCAUUUUACAGAUGGGGGUCCUGAAAUCAAGACAGGUUCAGACACUUGCCAGGGCCACACACAGCCACGAGGGACAGAAAGCAAGAUCUGCCCAUGCCCCACAGCCUGUCCUUUCCGGGGGCCACCUCGCCUCUCCCUGAGCAGGCUGGCCUCAUGCUGGGAGCACCAGCAGGCAGAAGCCCAGGACUCCAUUGGGAAUUAGGAGGCCGGUUCCUGGGGGAUUUUUGGGAUCCAUGAGGAUCAGGGAAUAAGAUCUGAGACAAACAGGACCCCAGCCCUACAGGUGAGUGCCCGCUUGGGGAUGGGGAUUUCAAAGGCACAGAUCACGGGGAGAAAAUUAAAUUGUCAAAGAGGAAAACCAGCACUGCCAUCCCUCCUUCACUCAUUAAUUUCUGAGGAAGUAUUAGCUGUCAGCAAGCAGCGGCCCUCCAAUUCAAAUUACAGAAUUUGAAUUCUUAAUUUCUCCUAAUCCAUCAGUGAGCUGCCUUCCUGGGCUAAUAUUAGCAGCACUGGCGAGGCUUGUAGCAGAGUCAUUGAUGUCUCCCUCCCUCUGAAGAAAGCCUAAUCGAUAGGGCUGGGCCUGGGGUGGGCCUCUCAGAGGCAGGGACCCCCUCCUCACUCCCCAGCUGCCUCCAGUCCCAGGAAGAAAUUGUGGAACUUUAGGGAGGUCCCUGGAGAGACAGGAGAACAAAGAAGAGGGAAGACAUAAUCAGAACCUGACAGAGACGUGGAACAAGGGAGGGAGGGUGAGACCCAGGGAAAGACAAAAUUAGCGAGACCAGGAGAGGUGGAAGCAGAGAGUGAUGGAGACUGAAUCAGAGGCCCAAAGAGAUGGAUGGAGACUGAGAUGGAGAGGAGGAAGGGAGCCCUCCAGAACCUAGGGUCAGAGCAACCCGCACACUGUCUUUGUUCAGGGAGAAAACACAGCAAAGCAAAACCAAAGCACCAGGGGACUCCCAGGCAUCUUGGGGAGUUUUGUGCCCCACGGAGAACAUGGCCCCCAUAACCCUGGGCCCACUAGAACACCUUGGUGUCCUGGAGUCAGGUACCUCGAAUCCAAUCAUAGCUCAAAGGUCUCCUCUGCCAGGAAGCUCUCUUGCUUUCCAUCCCUUUCCCCUUGGGCGGUAGCACCCUCUCCUGCUCAGCUCCCUGGGUCCUGGAGACAUUGCACCGCUGCUUCUCUGCACAGGUGGGGAGAGCAUGGGCGAUGAGACCAUUGGGGGCGGGGAAGGCUGCUGGGCUAGGCACCAGACAGGCGUUUCCUAUUGAUCUCUUCAACAAGGCCGUGAGGUCGGGACUAUUAUUACCCUCGCUUAACAGAUGAGGAAACAGGCACAGUUAGGUCACUUGCCCAAGGUCAUGGGGCAAUGAAGUAGUGGUGUCAGGAUUUGAACCCGAGCAGGCUGACUCCAAAGCAAAGUGGUUAAACCCUGUGACAGAACGUUGGGGGAACCCCCAGGGGGUUGUAUAUGGUGCAGUCCCUGUUCUUGUUGAACCAUAGAAGGAUGAAGGACAUGCCAGGCCAGCCCCAUGACUUCCUCAUGUGACCCCACUUCCAUCAGCUAGUCUUCUUGUUAACAUCCAGAUAGCCUCAUACUUCCAGCCCUCGUCCAGCUCAUACUGCUCCCUCCUGCCUUUCAAUCUCCCAAAUCCAACCCUUCAUCCAGGCAGGCCCAGUUCAAGUCAGGCCUUCAGCUGGAAGCUUUCUGGUAGCCCCUGUCCCUCCCUGGCUGGGUCCUGGCCCUUUCUGUGAAUGACCUUCCUCCUCAGCAAGUUGUGAGCCCCUGUGCACAGCCUGGGUGCCCUCCAACAUCCUAGGACUCAGCCUUGCCUGGGCAAGUGCUCAGUAAAUAUUUGUGGACUUAUCAACUGAUUGAUUGGUGAAGUGAAGACAAGAGGCCUAGGACAAAGACGCCUGAGAACUGAGCAGUGUCCCUGUCACCCUGGGCCCUGGGGAGUGUCAGGGAGCCAGAGACACACAGGCGGGGACUCCAGGCCCCAGCAGCAGUGUGGGCAGAGCAGCACUCCAGACUGCUCUCCCAGCUGCCCUCAGGAGACCCCGUCUUCCCAGGUUAGAGGACUUGGGAUGUGAGUGGGGAAGGGAGAAACAGGGGCCCCUCAACUUGAGAAGGGAGCCCUACAGGCUGCUCUUGAAGCUCCUCUCUCUCCCCAGCUCUGCCCAGGCCCAGGGUCUUCAUCAGGGUUGAGGCCACUGUCCCCCCUCCCUUUGCUGCUCCUGCUGCUCCUCCUCCCCAAUCUGAGAAGCUGGGCCUGAAUAGAACUAUUUUGGGCCAAGCCUCUGAAUUAUGCAAGGUCUGGCCAGAGCCCGCCUGUCCUGAUUGGUGGCAAUGGUGGUUCGGAAUAGGAGACCACUGUCUUCCACUUUUGGCAAAUUCAUUUCAGUUGCCAGGUGCCAGGUAGAGUGCGAUGGGGUUGCAUGCAUUUGUUUGUGAAGAUUUUGUGACUGAAAGGUUGUGGGUGUGCAUGAACAGUUAUGGGACCACAGCUUCCCAGAGACCUUUCCCACCCUCUGAAGCUCUAAAAGCAUAGACCCCUGGGCCCAGCACCUUGUGGUCCCAAAAUCUGUGUAUCUGGCCAACAGCCAGUAUGAAUGGAGGCCCACCUUCAUGUGGGACGAUGACACAAGUCAUCCUCCCCCUACCCUGCCCCUGGAGCCACAUGGACAGAAAAGAGAUAUCACCCCAUCAGGGCAGAUCCAGGAGCGGUGAAGGAGAGGCAUCCACUGCCUGACAAUAAGAGCUGUGAUGGCCACUAUGGGUUGAGAACUUUCUCUGAGUUCAGGCGCUUUGCAUACAUGAACUGAAUUAAAUGUCACAGCACUUCUAUACGGUACGUACUAUUAUUCCCAUUUUACUGAUGAGGAAACUAAGGGUCAGAAAGACUAAGAAACUUGCUCAAGAUCACACAUGUGGAACAAGCAGAAUCAAAAUUCAGACAGCUAUGGAAAUAAUAAGGCAAACCACAGCCCGGGAAACUAUUUCCAAUAGAUACAUCUGACAAAGCAAACUCUUACAACUCAAAAAUAAGAAGACAAUCUAAUUUUAAAACAGUGAAAAGAAGCUAUCGAUGGCCAACAUGCACGUGAAAAAGACAUUUGACAUCAUUUGUUAUCAGGUAAAUGCGAAUUAAAACCACAAUGACGUACCGCUACACACCCAUCAGAAGUCUGACAAGCUGAGUGUUGGUCAAGUUGUGGAGCAACUGGAACUCUUGUCACUGAGUGUAGAAAUGCACGAUGAUACAGCUACUUCAGAAAACAGCCUGCCAGUCAAACAUACAGUGACCCUGGGGCCCAGUCAUUCCACUCUUAGGUAUUUA